ACCUUCUUUCAUAAGCGCUGUGCUGAAGCUACAGAAACUAGGAUCACACCUUGGUUUUUGUAAUAAUGCUACCAGAGCACACACAAGAAGAAAAGAAACUGCACUAGGCUGUGAAGACUAGGGCGGACCACCUCUUGCUUAAUGUCCAGUGUCUUUUGUCUUAAGAUUUGGUGUGAUAUAG
Molecule: small nucleolar RNA, 181 nt
Organism: Hippopotamus amphibius kiboko
Lineage: Eukaryota; Metazoa; Chordata; Mammalia; Artiodactyla; Hippopotamidae
Product: small nucleolar RNA SNORA81
Exons: 1
Source: RefSeq, a predicted model, not a curated record